RNAcentral lists this ribosomal RNA (461 nucleotides) under uncultured beta proteobacterium. Its description in RNAcentral is "bacterial SSU rRNA". It matches the Rfam family "Bacterial small subunit ribosomal RNA", at positions 200 to 642 of the family's 1533-position model. Lineage: Bacteria; Pseudomonadati; Pseudomonadota; Betaproteobacteria. The record is from RNAcentral.
AGGAAAGCAGGGGAUCGCAAGACCUUGCGCUCUUGGAGCGGCCGAUGUCUGAUUAGCUAGUUGGUGAGGUAAAGGCUUACCAAGGCGGCGAUCAGUAGCUGGUCUGAGAGGACGACCAGCCACACUGGGACUGAGACACGGCCCAGACUCCUACGGGAGGCAGCAGUGGGGAAUUUUGGACAAUGGGGGAAACCCUGAUCCAGCCAUGCCGCGUGAGUGAAGAAGGCCUUCGGGUUGUAAAGCUCUUUCAGCCGGAACGAAACGGUCACGGCUAAUACCUGUGAUCACUGACGGUACCGGAAGAAGAAGCACCGGCUAACUACGUGCCAGCAGCCGCGGUAAUACGUAGGGUGCAAGCGUUAAUCGGAAUUACUGGGCGUAAAGCGUGCGCAGGCGGUUUUGUAAGUCAGAUGUGAAAUCCCCGGGCUUAACCUGGGAACUGCGUUUGAAACUACAAAGCU